UGCGUGUGUGGUGUUUGAGGUGUAUGAGAGAUGUUUGAAGUGGUGUAUUGCUUGAGGGUGGUUGUUUUGCUUGUAUGUGUGGUGUUUGAGGUGUGUGGGUGGUGUUCAAGUUGUGUGGUGCUCCAGGUGUUUGGUGUUUGAGGUGUGUGUGUGGAGUUUGAGGUGUGUCUGUGGUACUUGAAUGGUAUGUGUAUGGUGUUUGAGGUGUGUGUCUGGUGUUCCAGGUGUCUGUGUGGCAUUCCAGGUGUGUUUGUGUUCCAGGUGGAUUUGGUGUUCUAGGUGUGUGGGGUCCAGGUGUGUUUGGGGUCCAGGUGUGUGUGGUGCUAGAGGUAGGAGUACUGUGUGGGGUCCUUUCCUCCUCUGACUCAGGUUUCACCUCUGGAGGAUCCUGUCUGGAAGGUGUCCCUCCCUGAAUUGCUGAGGACUUCACCUUUUCAGCCUCCUGUUUAACUGUUUCAGAGGUGGCAAGAUGGGUGCUUACUCAGUCUCCCUUAACACCUGGAGGUAGUGUAGUCCCUGCCCCUCUAGGGCUGCGUGUGCUGAGGGAUUGGUCUCCUAUGCAGUGGUAUUCUGAGGUGGCUUUUGGGAAGUGAUUGGCUGUGAAGGUGCCAACUUGUAGUGAGGUGCCCCUUUGUGCUGCUGAACUGCCGCUGAGCCAUAACCCCAGUACCCACCCCACCCCCGUGUAUUUUAAAACUGACAUUUUUUUCCUUCCUCUUCUCCCUCCAACUCAGGAAGGCAAGGUUAGCCUUCCCAUCCUAGGCUGAGUUACCUAUUCUUCAGCUUACUGACCACAGAAAUGAAGGAAUCCAGACUUCAGGGCUGGCACGGAGGAUCUGAGAACAAGUCUCCAAGGCCACAUGUGAAUGAUGUCCUGAAGGGCACACCUGGAGCUUACUUUUCCCAUCCCCUCUUUAAUAGCCCACCAUUUCCUGGCAGUGAGAGUCACAGCAUCUGGGACAGGAGACCCCUCUGUGUUCUUCUUUGUUCUUUCCUUUGAAAACAAAACAAAACAAAAAA
Molecule: long non-coding RNA, 1020 nt
Filed under: Marmota monax (woodchuck)
Lineage: Eukaryota; Metazoa; Chordata; Mammalia; Rodentia; Sciuridae
Source: RNAcentral